UUAACAGCCCGGCAUAAUCGGACUGCUACCAUCGCUUCAAGCUGAGCUGCUGUUUUGGUUCUCUUUAAUAUUUGUUUGGUGAAUUGUUUAUGGUUUUUUUUUUAUUCUGUUGUUUGCGGCGGCUUGGAGCGGACUUCUCAGCCCAGUACGGCUGAGUGCCGUCUGCGUCCACUCGUGUAGAGGCUGGUUGUGUUGCUGUUGUGUCAGAACUUGUACAGCUGCAAGGGCUACUUCAGUUGAUGGUGUUUUGUUUCCUUUGUUAUUUGGAAAUUAAUUCAGGUGCUGUGGCUUACUGCGGCAGUUAUUUCCUGGUGGUGGUGGUCUUCUUCACGGUCCCCCCUUUCUUUUGGUUUUGUGUGUGUGUGUGUGUAUUAUUUGCAGUGUCACGGGUGAUUCAUUUAAGGAUUCCUCUCCCCUUUUUUGGUUGUCCUGCCGCAGGGUAAGCCCUAGCCUGGGUUUAUUUUAUUCCUUGUUGCUCAUUCUUUCUUUUAGUUAGUAUAUGUUAACUGGUGUGUGACAUUAUUUCCUUCCUUAUAAAUUGUUAAUAAACAUUGUUAAAUUGGAACACGUCUCGCCCCCCUGUGUUAAUGGACCCUGUUUGAGCCUUAAUUGGUUUAGUGACAGUGAAACACACCUGAGCUAGGAUUUCCUGGGUGCAGGUCCCAGGUGGCGUUGUCGGGACCAUAAUUGGUCUAAUUGGCUACAAACAUUCCUCGAAUCUCGCCACAUCAGCAUUGGCUACAGUGCUGAAGAGAAACCUGGGGUUCUUCUUGUUCUCCUCUAUUAAUGAUAAAUAGUAUCAGCAUACUAGCAUUACUGGCAUUACGAAGAGCUUUUUUUUUUUUAUAAAGCAUUAGACUAUUUUUUCAAGCUACGUAAACUUCCGCUAAACUAGUGAAAUGCCACUUCCUUACCAGCUUUUGCGAGGCCUGCUUUAAAGUCCGCAGAUGGGAAUUAUGGCAAGGAGCAGGUGGGAAAAAUUGUUACAUCUGCCCUUCAUUUUUUUCCAUAAAUGGUGUUGAAGCUUAUUCUCAACUGCUGUACAAUCCAUUGCUGUAAAAUGAAAUGUUAUUAAAAAAUGGUCAGACUUCUGUCUGAGGGUUCUGGGGAAAUACUGUUAACUGUUCAGUUUCUAUACCAGUCAGAACAAGCUCAAGGGUGUGGUUAAAACUGAGUCGGUUUAUUUACAUGUUGAGAAAAACCAGUUAAGUCUAAUAAUGAAUUAAAUGCAGUCUCAAGGUUGUCACUGUCAACGUUAACAUGAAUGUUAAACUCCCCCACAAUAAUGACUUCAUCUGAACUAAGCACUAAAUCAGGAAAAAAAAGUCUUUACAUGUACAUUAAACAACUUUAUUAUCCAGCGUUAUUGCUCACAAGGGACUUAAUAUGUUUGAUGACUGAAUAGAGGGACUUUUUUAAUAUUUUAAUAAUUCUAAAUAAAAACACCAGCAAUGAUAAUUUGUCUGUUAUAAAUGUUUUUUGAAAACCAUGUAACUUAAUGGAAAUAAAACCAUUCAAAGCACAUUUCAAAGCAGUUUAAUGAGGAUUAUUCAGUGAAGCAGAAGCAACAAAACUGGUUUUGUUGAAAUUUCUGCAGUUUCAAACAGACUCACACACACUAUCUAACUUAAUGAAGUGCCUUUAUUCAUCAGAUAGAUGACUUGUUACAAAGAGAAGCUAUCUUAAAUAGGGAGUAGUGAAACACAACCAGUCAUAUUCCCCACAAGUUAUAGGAAGGUAUGAAUCCUAAAACAACUUUCUACUGAAUGACAGCUUUGCAAUGACAACAAAAUUAAUUAUCUUUUGAAGAAUUAAUAUUAUAAUUUUGUUUUCAAUCAUUCUCUGUAUCUUUAUUUUCUCAUGUUUAUUCUGUCUGUGUUGUCAGAUCAUUCUCUCUGUAAAGAACAUUUGCUAAUGUUUGUUGUUUUUAAAUAUGCUCUAAAGUGACUUGAUG
This is a long non-coding RNA of Amphiprion ocellaris (clown anemonefish), 1954 nucleotides long. The record is from Ensembl. Lineage: Eukaryota; Metazoa; Chordata; Actinopteri; Pomacentridae.